Molecule: ribosomal RNA, 403 nt
Filed under: uncultured bacterium
Lineage: Bacteria
Description: partial 16S ribosomal RNA
Rfam family: Bacterial small subunit ribosomal RNA
Source: RNAcentral
GACGAACGCUGGCGGCGUGCCUAAUACAUGCAAGUCGAACGCAGUGGGGACGGGUGAGUAACCCGUGGGUAACCUCCCAUCAGAGGGGAUAACACUUGGAAACGGUAGCUAAACCGAUACUGCUGGAUGGACCCGCGGUGCAUUAGCUAGUUGGUGAGGUAACGGGUCACCAAGGCCACGAGGCAUAGGCGACCUGAGGGGGGGAGCGGCCACACGGGGACUGGGACACGGGCCAGGCUCCGACGGGAGGCAGGAGGAGGGAAUCGUCGGCAAUGGACGAGAGUCUGACCGAGGAACGCCGCGGGAGUGAAGAAGGUUUUCGGAGCGGAAGACUCUGUUGUUAGAGAAGCGGUAUCUAACCAGAAAGCCACGGCUAACUACGUGCCAGCCGCCGGGGUAAUAC